AAGGGAUAUUUAUGGCUGGACCCUUUUCAAGAGGCUCACUGACAUUGAUGGAUAUUAAUAAAGUUGAUGCUAUAAAGUUUCACCAGGAAUGGCAGAAGGAUGAACCUGCCAAGUAAGCACAGGCUGUUCCAAAGCCUAGUAUAGGAAUCAUUGCGCCAGACUGGGAAAAGUCUUUCUCAUCUACAUGGUACAGGAACUGCAGAGAUUUCUAUGGAAAAAUAAUGAACACAUUUAAGACAAGUUGAAAUCAGAGUUUUCUUCUAAGAGAAAAUGAAAACAGUAAUAACACCCAGAGAGAUGGCCUGAAACUUGGUUGUUUCAAAGAAAGCUGUUGGCCCAUCUCCCCACUUCACCUGACUCCCAUUCCCACACAGGCAACCCAACACAUUCAAGGUCAUGUCGGAACAGCUAACCUGACAGGGUGGGAUGCGGCCUACUGCUCUGAAGACUCGAAAUGCUGACGGCACCCUAUUAGCUUUCUGUUCACUUCAGUCAACUUCCUUCUCAUGGUCUAUCCUCUUCCAUAUCGUGAUGCCUUCCUUCCAUGUAUCAUCCAUCUUACAACAUUGUG
Molecule: long non-coding RNA, 571 nt
Filed under: Pan troglodytes (chimpanzee)
Lineage: Eukaryota; Metazoa; Chordata; Mammalia; Primates; Hominidae
Description: long non-coding RNA NONPTRT016707
Source: RNAcentral